UACGUAGGGGGCGAGCGUUGUCCGGAAUCAUUGGGCGUAAAGAGCACGUAGGCGGCCUGUCAGGUCGGAUGUGAAAACCCGCGGCUCAACUGCGGGACUGCAUUCGAAACCGGCAGGCUAGAGUCCAGUAGAGGAAAGUGGAAUUCCCAGUGUAGCGGUGAAAUGCGCAGAUAUUGGGAAGAACACCGGUGGCGAAGGCGGCUUUCUGGGCUGUGACUGACGCUGAGGUGCGAAAGCUAGGGGAG
RNAcentral lists this ribosomal RNA (245 nucleotides) under uncultured bacterium. RNAcentral describes it as "partial 16S ribosomal RNA". It matches the Rfam family "Bacterial small subunit ribosomal RNA", at positions 524 to 768 of the family's 1533-position model. The record is from RNAcentral.